UGCGAGGAUUAUGCUGCAUUACCCAUUUAUAAACCUUCACAUCUAGUUCUUUUAGUUUAUCCUAGUUAUGCUCCUAAGUCUUUUUAGUACCAAAGGCAACAGCAAACCAGAACCAUUUCUUGUCAUCAACACCAUUAAAAUGAAGUUCGAAAUUUUCAUAGAUCUACUUAACAUAGAAUCUAUGUUCAACACUAGGCAUAACAUUAUUAAAUACCUCUACAAG
This 223-nucleotide long non-coding RNA is filed under the name Ricinus communis (castor bean). RNAcentral's name for it is "long non-coding RNA (RCOM_LNC002085)". The record is from RNAcentral. Lineage: Eukaryota; Viridiplantae; Streptophyta; Magnoliopsida; Malpighiales; Euphorbiaceae.